This is a long non-coding RNA of Manacus vitellinus (golden-collared manakin), 463 nucleotides long. RefSeq lists it as uncharacterized. The record is from RefSeq and is a predicted model, not a curated record. The transcript has 2 exons. NCBI's taxonomy places the organism in Eukaryota, Metazoa, Chordata, Aves, Passeriformes, Pipridae.
CCUGGAGACAGGACUCCAACCAAUGGCAACUAAAUAAUGGCACGUGAUUAAUGCAGGGAUGGACAAUGGCAUGUGGAUAAUCUUCCAAAGAAAGUACAUGGAUCCCGUGCUGAAAGAUGGGAUGGGAAGGGUACCACCACCUUCCUGUUGUGUGCCAGCCCCAGAGGAUCUGAGAGUUUCAAGAUCUAACAGAUAAUUAUCUAAAGGACUGUCCGACUGAAGAUCUCAGAGGGAAACCAUCUCUACCAAGGCCAACACCGUUAGCACAGUGGCACAAUGGCACCCUCUGUUGCCCUUCGUGAUUCCUUUGGUGGCUGCUCCCACGUGGAUGUAUUAACUUCUGAAAACAUCUGUGCAUCGUCUUCCCCAAAUCCGACCUCUUCCUGCCUAACUUCCUUGUUUGUUCGGAGUUAUCCUCUGUUAUUUCCCUUCAUAAUAAAAUCCACUUUGCUCUUCGAGUCUA